RNAcentral lists this ribosomal RNA (852 nucleotides) under Pleosporaceae sp. LM199. RNAcentral's name for it is "eukaryotic LSU rRNA". The stretch from base 1 to 359 matches the Rfam family "Eukaryotic small subunit ribosomal RNA", at positions 1475 to 1831 of the family's 1831-position model. Lineage: Eukaryota; Fungi; Ascomycota; Dothideomycetes; Pleosporales; Pleosporaceae. The record is from RNAcentral.
AGAGUUCUGGGCCGCACGCGCGCUACACUGACAGAAGCCAACGAGUUCUUCACCUUGGCCGAAAGGUCUGGGUAAUCUUGUUAAACUCUGUCGUGCUGGGGAUAGAGCAUUGCAAUUAUUGCUCUUCAACGAGGAAUGCCUAGUAAGCGCGUGUCAUCAGCAUGCGUUGAUUACGUCCCUGACCUUUGUACACACCGCCCGUCGCUACUACCGAUUGAAUGGCUCAGUGAGGCGUUCGGACUGGCUCGGGGAGGUUGGCAACGACCACCCCAAGCCGGAAAGUUCGUCAAACUCGGUCAUUUAGAGGAAGUAAAAGUCGUAACAAGGUCUCCGUAGGUGAACCUGCGGAGGGAUCAUUACACAAUAAAAUACGAAGGCCGUUCGCGGCUGGACUAUUUAUUACCCUUGUCUUUUGCGCACUUGUUGUUUCCUGGGCGGGUUCGCUCGCCACCAGGACCACAAUAUAAACCUUUUUUAUGCAGUUGCAAUCAGCGUCAGUAUAACAAAUGUAAAUCAUUUACAACUUUCAACAACGGAUCUCUUGGUUCUGGCAUCGAUGAAGAACGCAGCGAAAUGCGAUACGUAGUGUGAAUUGCAGAAUUCAGUGAAUCAUCGAAUCUUUGAACGCACAUUGCGCCCUUUGGUAUUCCAAAGGGCAUGCCUGUUCGAGCGUCAUUUGUACCCUCAAGCUUUGCUUGGUGUUGGGCGUUUUUGUCCCCCCCAAAAGGGGGACUCCCCUUAAAAGGAUGGCAGCCGGCCUACUGGUUUUCGCAGCGCAACACAUUUUUGCCUUGCAAUCCGCAAAAGAGGAGGGAAUCCCUCAGACUCCUUCUCCGUUUGACCUCGAACAGG